UACAGAGGGUGCAAACGUUGCUCGGAAUUAUUGGGCGUAAAGCGCGUGUAGGCGGCCCGUUAUGUCGGCUGUGAAAGCCCAUGGCUCAACCAUGGAAGUGCAGCCGAAACUGGCGGGCUAGAGUCCUGGAGAGGGUGGCGGAAUGCCCAGUGUAGAGGUGAAAUUCGUAGAUAUUGGGUAGAACACCGGUGGCGAAGGCGGCCACCUGGACAGCGACUGACGCUAAGACGCGAAAGCGUGGGGAGCGAACAGG
RNAcentral lists this ribosomal RNA (253 nucleotides) under uncultured bacterium. RNAcentral describes it as "partial 16S ribosomal RNA". It matches the Rfam family "Bacterial small subunit ribosomal RNA", at positions 524 to 776 of the family's 1533-position model. The record is from RNAcentral.